GCCUCGUCAACUCAGCGGUCAGAGUGCCGGCCUGUCUAGUCGGAAGCCGCGGGCUGCGGGCUUCGCCCGCAGAGCAAGUCCCGCACGAGGCGCCA
This 95-nucleotide transfer RNA is filed under the name Rubrivivax sp. RNAcentral's name for it is "tRNA-Asp". Lineage: Bacteria; Pseudomonadati; Pseudomonadota; Betaproteobacteria; Burkholderiales; Sphaerotilaceae. The record is from RNAcentral.